This 439-nucleotide long non-coding RNA is filed under the name Fukomys damarensis (Damara mole-rat). RNAcentral's name for it is "lncRNA (ENSFDAG00000031019.1)". Lineage: Eukaryota; Metazoa; Chordata; Mammalia; Rodentia; Bathyergidae. The record is from RNAcentral.
UGGGAGUAGGUGCAUUGGAACAUGCCCUUCCUCGCUGUUAGCCAGGGAAGAGACAAGAAGCACUAGGACGGUCAGUCUUGAGCUGAGAAUGAUCUUACAGGGAAGACACCUCAUUUCACUCAUACAAACCAAGAGUGUCCGAAUGCGGUGGGAGGUAUUUCAGGGAAGCAGAAGUAAUCUUGCCACUCGAAGUCUGACUCGUGGAUGGAGCAGUGGGGUGGGCGUCUCUCAGGAUCUUGUUGGAAAAGCAGAAGCUCGGCUCUCGUGGGAGACCUCCCGAAGCCGAUCUGAAGAUCCUGCAGUGAUUUACGUGCAUUUUAAGGACUGCAUGGCACUGGAUGCGACGCCAUUGCCUGGCUCUCGUUUCCUGCCACCCUCUCUCCAACACAGCACUGCAUCACAGACCAGUGGCACCCUUUGAAAUGCCCUCUCUCCAGGA